AUCAUUUAAUAAAAAUAUGCCAUACUAUAUAUGACUCUGUGAAGCGAUUAAAAAAAAAAAAAGAAAAAUCAGCAUAAAUACAUACAAUUUUUUCAUUGCGUAUGAUCGAUUCCGGUCGAGCUUCAAGCAAACCAAGUCGACCCGGCCGAAGCCGCCCACACCUAUCGUAGCCACAGUUUCGAAGUCCGUCAGCUCCACGCGGAAUAGUUCCGGGUUGUUUAUUCUAUUGCUAUAGCCAAAUUGAACAUGCAAAUUAACAUUAUGGUUAGUAUUUACUUUUUUGUACGUGUACAGGAAAUUGUUUGAUUAACGAAAUAUAUUACCUAUUUAAUUUGGAGAAAUUAUGUUUUAAGUAAACCAUAUGGUUAGAUUAUACAUGUCACCGUAAUAGCUGCGAAGGUAAAACACUCUCGACGAUAAUCUAUUUAGGUGCUUAUAAAUGUUAUUUCAUUUUUAUUAAUCAAUGUCAGCAUCUGUUAAUUGUUCAU
Molecule: long non-coding RNA, 488 nt
Organism: Sipha flava (yellow sugarcane aphid)
Lineage: Eukaryota; Metazoa; Arthropoda; Insecta; Hemiptera; Aphididae
Exons: 3
Source: RefSeq, a predicted model, not a curated record